Non-coding RNA from Caenorhabditis brenneri, 78 nucleotides. The record is from the annotation of a GenBank genome assembly. Lineage: Eukaryota; Metazoa; Nematoda; Chromadorea; Rhabditida; Rhabditidae.
UUCGGCGUGGGUGGCGCAGUGGGUAACGCUUCAGUCUUCCACGCGAAGACUCUCUGGUUCGAAUCCAUCGCGUUGAAA